AAUAAAAAUUAAUCGUGCGGAUUAAUAAUCCAAGACUAUAAAACCGUGUUGCCUAUUUGCUUUUCUUUAGUGGAUUAGGCGUCAAGUCUAACGGAGAGAUUGAAUUCGAUCAUCUUAAUGCCCUUUUAUGGCGAUUCACGUAAUUAUGGAGUAAUUUAUAAUUAUGGAAUAUAUCAUCGUAAGGGCUGGUAGAUCGGACAGUA
This 203-nucleotide small nucleolar RNA is filed under the name Henningerozyma blattae CBS 6284. RNAcentral's name for it is "Tetrapisispora blattae CBS 6284 Small nucleolar RNA snR35". It matches the Rfam family "Small nucleolar RNA snR35". The record is from Rfam by way of RNAcentral. Lineage: Eukaryota; Fungi; Ascomycota; Saccharomycetes; Saccharomycetales; Saccharomycetaceae.